GCCGGGGGUGCAAUGGGCCGCAGGAUCCCAAUUGGGCCUGGCCUUACCGCCGGCGAUUUUGGCCCAAAAACGCCGGGGGUAGCGGGCCUUACCGCUGGCGAACCCGAACCGAAGAUGCCGGGGGUAACGGGUGGGCUUCAAAUGACUAGAAACAAUAAAAGAGGUCUUAGAAAAGGGUAAAAAAGGGUGGCUUUUUUGCGCCCACAGGGAUUCGAACCCUGGAUGCUGCGGCUGUGCACAAGUGAGUGGAACCACUGUGUUACUGAAUCAUUUUUGAGAAACUACAUGGUUUACGGAACUAAACGUGUCCCCAGCGAAUUAGUCGUUUUCGCCGGUGGUAACUGCACUUGGUCCCACCUGAUAGUGGCUGAAAUGUUACCGCCGGCGUUUACGACAAAACGCCGGGGUACGCGUUCCACGACUUAAGUCGUGUGGCCGUCGUUCCCCACAGCCAAAUCGACCAAAAAUCCCCCACCGCAUCUCGAUCCCCUGCCGCCGUCGAUCCGCCACCUGCUGCCGUCGUUGCCGUCGCCCUCCACCGCAGCACCUCGCCUCGUCGCCCUCCGUCGCAGCACCUCGCCCCAUCACCCUCCGUCGCAGCAGCUCGCCUCGUCGCCCUCCGUCGCAGCAUCUCGCCUCGUCUCCCUCAGCUCUCCCUCCCCUGACUUCUCCACAUCUUCGCUGCCGUGCAUCUCCACAGACGCUUGCUCAAGAAAUGGCUGCAUUUGAAAUGACUUCACUGUAUGCUUGGUCAUGGCAGUUUGUUGCCCAGAUGUGGAGGACCCCUUUCAUCGCGAUGAUGCUUGCCGCCACCGCCUCUCUAGUCUACUAUGUCAUUGUUGUUUAGCUAGGUCGUCGACUGAACUUAUAUGUAUUUGUAUAAUAUGUGCUACUUCGAGUCACGAUGUUUGAACCAUUUGGUCAACUAGCUACUAUCUAAACUUGUGUUAUUGAUGCAUUUUUUUGAGGUUAUGAACAUUUGGGACUUUCUAUAUAACUGUGUAUCUGUGUAUCUGGCUGUAAUUCUAGUAAUAACUGUGUUAUUGAUUGAUGUGUGUAUUCCUGUGUA
Long non-coding RNA from Lolium perenne, 1069 nucleotides. RefSeq lists it as uncharacterized. The record is from RefSeq and is a predicted model, not a curated record. NCBI's taxonomy places the organism in Eukaryota, Viridiplantae, Streptophyta, Magnoliopsida, Poales, Poaceae.